CGGGGCGUAGCGCAGUCUGGUAGCGUGCUUCCUUGGGGUGGAAGAGGUCGUGAGUUCAAAUCUCGCCGUCCCGA
Molecule: transfer RNA, 74 nt
Filed under: Aridibacter famidurans
Lineage: Bacteria; Pseudomonadati; Acidobacteriota; Blastocatellia; Blastocatellales; Blastocatellaceae
Also listed under: 3 other names
Description: tRNA-Pro
Rfam family: tRNA
About the family: Transfer RNA (tRNA) molecules are approximately 80 nucleotides in length. Their secondary structure includes four short double-helical elements and three loops (D, anti-codon, and T loops).
Source: RNAcentral